CCUACGGGAGGCAGCAGUGGGGAAUAUUGCACAAUGGGGGAAACCCUGAUGCAGCGACGCCGCGUGAGUGAAGAAGUAAUUCGUUAUGUAAAGCUCUGUCAGCAGGGAAGAAAAUGACGUUACCUGAUUAAGAAUCCCCUGCUAACUACUUGCCAGCAGCCGCGGUAAUACGUAGGGGGCAAGCGUUAACCGGAUUUACUGGGUGUAAAGUGAGCGGAGAUGGCAGUGCAAGUCUGGAGUGAAAGGCGGGGGCUCAACCCCCGGACUGCUCUGGAAACUGUACGGCUGGAGUGCAGGAGAGGUAAGUGGAAUUCCAAGUGUAGCGGUGAAAUGCGUAGAUAUUAGGAGGAACACCAGUGGCGAAGGCGACUUACUGGAAUGUAACUGACGUUGAGGCUCGAAAGCGUGGGGAGCAAACAGGAUUAGAUACCCCGGUAGUC
This 440-nucleotide ribosomal RNA is filed under the name uncultured bacterium. RNAcentral's name for it is "partial 16S ribosomal RNA". It matches the Rfam family "Bacterial small subunit ribosomal RNA", at positions 338 to 795 of the family's 1533-position model. The record is from RNAcentral.